This is a non-coding RNA of Caenorhabditis elegans, 21 nucleotides long. The record is from Ensembl. NCBI's taxonomy places the organism in Eukaryota, Metazoa, Nematoda, Chromadorea, Rhabditida, Rhabditidae.
UCUGAAUCGUGUUUGAGAAAG